This is a non-coding RNA of Cyanistes caeruleus (blue tit), 607 nucleotides long. The record is from RefSeq and is a predicted model, not a curated record. Lineage: Eukaryota; Metazoa; Chordata; Aves; Passeriformes; Paridae.
CUCAAACACUUGUUCAUACUCUACCAUUUCCUUUUUGUCUCAAAAUGCUACAAUCUGAAAUUCUAAUCUGCUUCUCAAUGUUCCACUGCAAAGGGGUGACAACUUGCUUUCAGCAUUUGACAGCAGGUUUCCAUGUAAUAUUUCAAAGCUCAGCAAGAGGUUUCUUAUAUUCUGUGGUGAACAGGAUAAAUUUUGUCAUUCAGAAGAUAAAUCUGAGCUAUCUGUAUGUACAGAAACACUAAAACGAGAACAUAUGUUGGAGACAGGAUUAGAACUUCAAAGAAGAGCCUGCCAGAGGAAAAUGCAGGAAAUGUUUGCAUUCCUGUAUGAUUCCAUCAUACAGGGGCCUGUAAUGGUGAAAGCACCCUUCAGCAGAUGUUGUUUGAAAGGAUGUAUUUGUGCUUCUCCAAUCAAGGCCUCCUCACACUUUGAAAAAGAUCAUUAAGAAAGACUAAGUCUCCUUAGAUGAAUCUCAUCUAUAUGAAGUAACUGACUAAAUUAUACAAUUGUCCUUUGUGUUCUGCUAGGAAUUGAACCCAAGUAUCUUGAGAAUAAGAGACUCUCUUUGUCUAUUAGCUAUACAAAUAAAGGGUAUUGAUUAUUUUUU